This 388-nucleotide ribosomal RNA is filed under the name Vibrio parahaemolyticus. RNAcentral describes it as "partial 23S ribosomal RNA". It matches the Rfam family "Bacterial large subunit ribosomal RNA", at positions 1366 to 1754 of the family's 2925-position model. Lineage: Bacteria; Pseudomonadati; Pseudomonadota; Gammaproteobacteria; Vibrionales; Vibrionaceae. The record is from RNAcentral.
UAAUCGGGGCAGGGUAAGUCGACCCCUAAGGCGAGGCCGAAAGGCGUAGUCGAUGGGAAACGGGUUAAUAUUCCCGUACUUCUUACAAUUGCGAUGGGGGGACGGAGAAGGCUAGGUGGGCCUGGCGACGGUUGUCCAGGUUCAAGUGCGUAGGCUUAAGAGUUAGGUAAAUCCGGCUCUUUCUAAGGCUGAGACACGACGUCGAGCACCUACGGGUGUGAAGUCAUUGAUGCCAUGCUUCCAGGAAAAGCCUCUAAGCUUCAGAUUGUAAGGAAUCGUACCCCAAACCGACACAGGUGGUCGGGUAGAGAAUACCAAGGCGCUUGAGAGAACUCGGGUGAAGGAACUAGGCAAAAUGGUACCGUAACUUCGGGAGAAGGUACGCUCU